Anneissia japonica is the source of this 912-nucleotide long non-coding RNA. RefSeq lists it as uncharacterized. The record is from RefSeq and is a predicted model, not a curated record. NCBI's taxonomy places the organism in Eukaryota, Metazoa, Echinodermata, Crinoidea, Comatulida, Comatulidae. The transcript is spliced from 5 exons.
UAUGAAGAUAUUUCAUUGCAAAAUCGGAUCAGACUAAGGACAGCAAUUGAUAUUUCAACUGACAAGAUUAUAGAAUAUUGAGGUAAGUCGGGUUUUAAAGCAUUUACGAACUGUAUAUCUGGUGUGCUUUAGCUAUAUUCACAGAUUGAAAGACAAAGAACAUGGUAGACAAUUGCAGCAAGACAGCUACAUAUACCAGGAGUGAGUUAAGGUAGAUUGAGUAACAUAUCAUGUUUUGCACAUAUUGUUAUCGUUUGUUAUUCGCAUACUGUAAAGUAAUGAAAAUGUGGAAUGUGUUUAUUAGGCCUAUAAAUCGAUAUGUUAACUGAUGAAUAUUAAGGUAAAAUCAUUUAAUACCUGCUUUUCUAUGUACUUUAGAUAUAGGCCUAUUCACAUCUUGAAGAACUUAAAACCAGAAAAAGAUGGUACACAAUUUUGAUAUUUCAACUGACAAGAUAGAAUAUUAAGAUAAAUGUGCGGAAUGCCAUGGAUGUUUGUCAAUUGAAGAUAUAGCUGAAAAAGCAACUUUAGUAUUGUAUGACGAUAUGACAUUGCGGCGUCGGAUCAGCAGACAAGGAACAGCAUACAUUUGACAUUUCAACUGACAAGAUUAUUGAAUAUUGGGGUAAGUCGGGUUUAAAAGCAUUUACGAACUGUAUAUCUGGUGUGCUUUAGCUAUAUUUACAGACCGGAAGACUUCCAAACCAGAAAAAGAACAUUGUAGACAAUUGCAGCCAGACAGCUACAAGUACAAGGAGUGAGUUAAGAUAUAUAUUCACAUUUUGAAAGAACUCAAAACCAGACAAAGGAGAUGGCACACAAGUAUUUAAACUGACAAGAUGAUACAAUAUUCAGAAAUGUGCAGAAUGUCCUGGAUGUCGGUCAGUCGAGGAUAUAGCUGCAAAAACAAAC